GUUUCACUAACUGUAAGAACACAACAAUUUAAGUAAAUGUGAGUGUCAUAUAAAAGGUCAAAAGAAAUAAUAUUUGAUAAAGGGUAUGAUCGAAAGUGGUUAAGGAGUUAGUUCAUCUAGCCCACCUACAGUUUGCAAAUGGCACUCUAUUCUUUCUUUUAAGGUAGGAAUGCUCCUUCGUUAAUCUUAAUAGGUUUUUGUCCUUUUUUUUGAAGAGAUUUUCAGGCUUGAGAUUAAUAGAGGUAAGAGUUCCGUGUUGGGUAUAAAUUGUUAUCCUUCCAAGUUAAGCUCAGGGGCUUUUAUGGUGGGUUGUAACGUGUGCCAGUUCCCUCCCUUGUCCUUAGGGCUCCCCUUGGGUGGGAAUCCAAGGAGCUUAACAUUUUGGAAUCCUAGCAUGCAUAAAACUCGGAAGAGAUUGUUUGCCUUUAAAGGAAGGUACUUCUCUAAAGGGGAAAACUUGUGGUAAUCCAAUCUGUGUUGAAAGGGAUCCCUUACUAUUUCUUGCCAAUCUUUAGGAUUCUUGUCUAGAUAAGUGUCCAUUGAGAGAGUUAAAGCAAAGUUUCUAUUGAAAGGGAUUGACGAAGGAGGAGGGCCCCACCUGAUCAAAUGAAAGGUGGUCAUGAACUCAAUGUAUCUAGGAGGGUUAGGCAUUGGGAGCUUGAGGUUACGUAACACAGUUUUCCCGACUAAGUCAUUGUGGCACUUCUUCCUAAAGCCUAACACGUUGGGACAUAGAGUACUUGCGAGCAAGUAUGGCCCACUUUUGGUGGUGCAAGGGUGAUGGUUCUAGGGGUCUUAGCAAAAACCUCUUGUCAAUCUUUAGGAUUCUGGUGUAGGUAAGUGUCCAUUGAGAGAGUAGAGAGGAGUUCCUAUUGAAAGGGAUUGACGAGGGAGGAAGGUCCCACCUGAUCAAGUGAAAUGUGGCCAUGAACUCGAUGCAUCUAGGAGAGUUAGGCAUUGGGAGCUUGAGGUUACGUAACACAGUUUACCAAGCUAAGUCGUUGUGCCACUUCUUGCUAAAGCCUAACUCAUUGAGACAGAGUAAUUGCGAGCAGGUAUGACCCAUAUCCUUUUGAUGGUGCAAGGCUGAUGGUUCAAGGGGUCUUAGCAAAAAUGCCUGGGUUAUUUUUUCGAGAUUUCCCUCUUUUUCUCUGUUUAUGCAUUGUUCUCUUAAGGAAAACUCAGAUUUAUUUUUUCGAGGAUUGCUGGGGGGAUAAACCUUUGUGUAUUCUGUUUCCACGUUUAUAACAGAUUUGAAACAAAAUGUUGCAUUCGGUGGACUCAGUGCUGCCUUCCUCCAAAAGGUUUUUGCUUUCGUUAGACUUUUGAUGACCUCUAUCUGAGAGGGGUAAUAGAUGUUAGUUUUCCCAUGAGAAAGGAUGUUCAUAUUUGGUACUCUAAUCCUUCUACGAGGGUUCUCACGAUAUUCCUUCUUCCAUGUUAUGUAUGGCCUUUCUCCCCACCCAGGGGCCUUUGUUUUAUCCUCUCUUUGGCCGGCUAUAAAAUUCCAAAAAAAGUCCGAGGUUUUUGCAUAAUAGGUUUAGUAUAGGGGUAGAACAUCUUGGAUUGUUUCCAAAGGCAUCCUUUCUUCUUCUUUUCCUUGAGGAGGACCUCGAUCAUUUGUUGUGCGAUUGACAAUUUGCUCAAUUCUUUUGGAGUUGCUGGAGAUCAUUUAGUGUGUGUGGAGCACUGAGUAGGGAUGGUAAUUCGUUGUUGGAGGAGGUGCUUCUAAAUCUCCCUUUAAGGGAAAUGGACAAAGUCCUAUGACAAGCAACCUUCUUUGUUGUUUGUAGAGUAUUUAAUUGGAAAGCACUACUAGAAUUUUCGAAGAGGUUGUGAGGAGGUUUGGAAUGUUAUUUUGGGUUGACGGUUAAUAAAUAAAGGAAACUCCAAGUUUAGGGGGCAAGCAUUUUCUAAAGAUAGUUUGUGAGAGAUUCCAAGCCUUUCAGAAUGCUUGGAAAACUUACAAUUUUCCUUCAAUAUUUUAUGUUAAUUUUCAUUUCAAUUUCCAGUUCCCAUCAUAGCCAUCAAAGAUAAUUCUUUACACACUUCUUACCCUCUGCCAGCGAAAUUACAAAUAAACUCCUCCAUCCCCCAAACCAAUUCAUAAAAUAAUAUCACUACUACACAAAUGAAAAAAA
Cucurbita pepo subsp. pepo (vegetable marrow) is the source of this 2141-nucleotide non-coding RNA. The record is from RefSeq and is a predicted model, not a curated record. Lineage: Eukaryota; Viridiplantae; Streptophyta; Magnoliopsida; Cucurbitales; Cucurbitaceae.